UAUGAUGGCCCCCAACUGCACCUAUUGCUGAGAACUGUUUAUCUUUGUCUGGUACACCUAGAAACUGGGUAAUAAAGAAUGUAAGCAAUCGGGACUACAUCAAUUUGUGAAUAUAAAAUGUUAAAUGUCAUGGCAUUAUCCCCUCAGGAAAGUACAAAUUAUUUUCAUGCAGCAGAGAGUGGGAAUCGGGAACAUCAUAUCAAUCAACAAGUAAUCCUACAAUUGGCAGUGAUAGACUCAGCAAUAUCACUCCAAUACCAUGAGAACCACAUUUCAUGUUAGACUUGGUACAAUGCCAAUUUUACUUUGAUUUGCAAAACCUAAAAGUUUUCCCCAGGGUAAAUAUCCAAAUCUAUCUCACGUUCACCUUUACCCCCUACCUAAAGGAAAAGCCAGGCAUCUUCUCAUUAACACAACUGAGUGAAAGAUUUUAAAUAGCAUUGUCAAACCCAGCCAACGCCUUUUUUCGUCACAUAUUACUGAUGACUAGACCCAGCCACAGUCCUGGAUGAGACUGGAACUGGUCCAGUCAAACCUGAGACCAAAAACCAGACCAGAACUGUCUCUCUCCCAUGGUCCCAUCCCUUGAACCAGACUGGACUGAGUAGUUCCAUUUCAAACAUUCUUUC
Molecule: unclassified non-coding RNA, 629 nt
Filed under: Hevea brasiliensis (rubber tree)
Lineage: Eukaryota; Viridiplantae; Streptophyta; Magnoliopsida; Malpighiales; Euphorbiaceae
Source: RNAcentral